UGCGGAGGGAUCAUUACAGGA
This 21-nucleotide ribosomal RNA is filed under the name Chloridium virescens. Its description in RNAcentral is "partial 18S ribosomal RNA". The record is from RNAcentral. Lineage: Eukaryota; Fungi; Ascomycota; Sordariomycetes; Chaetosphaeriales; Chaetosphaeriaceae.